CGCCGUGGCGCAGAGGUUACGCCAACGCUCUGGGAAGCUGUGCGACCUGGGUUCGAUUCCCG
This 62-nucleotide transfer RNA is filed under the name Cryptomonas paramaecium. RNAcentral describes it as "Cryptomonas paramecium tRNA". Lineage: Eukaryota; Cryptophyceae; Cryptomonadales; Cryptomonadaceae. The record is from RNAcentral.